UAAUAAGUGUUUUAUGGCACUUUUUUAAAUCCAUAUCCACCUUGUGUGCAAUGUCAGUCGAUCUUCUUCAUGGAGAUCGACCACAAACAUCAACCUUUAUCUUUUAACUCUUUGUCUGAAAAAUAUUAUGAAUAAACAAUUCAAAAUAC
Molecule: unclassified non-coding RNA, 149 nt
Filed under: soil metagenome
Description: partial internal transcribed spacer 1
Source: RNAcentral